RNAcentral lists this unclassified non-coding RNA (270 nucleotides) under air metagenome. RNAcentral describes it as "partial contains small subunit ribosomal RNA, internal transcribed spacer 1, and 5.8S ribosomal RNA". The stretch from base 1 to 46 matches the Rfam family "Eukaryotic small subunit ribosomal RNA", at positions 1786 to 1831 of the family's 1831-position model. The record is from RNAcentral.
AAGUCGUAACAAGGUUUCCGUAGGUGAACCUGCGGAAGGAUCAUUAUUGAAAUAAAUCUGAUGGGUUGCUGCUGGUUCUCUAGGGAGCAUGUGCACACUUGUCAUCUUUAUAUCUCCACCUGUGCACCUUUUGUAGGCUUGGGUUUGAGGAUUGAUUUUCUUUCCAGGUCUAUGUUUCUUCAUAUACCCCAUGUAUGUUAUAGAAUGUAAUAAACAGGCCUUUGUGCCUAUAAACCUAUACAACUUUCAGCAACGGAUCUCUUGGCUCUC